UGGGGAAUCUUCCGCAAUGGACGAAAGUCUGACGGAGCAACGCCGCGUGAGUGAUGACGGCCUUCGGGUUGUAAAGCUCUGUUAAUCGGGACGAAAGGCCUUCUUGCGAAUAGUGAGAAGGAUUGACGGUACCGGAAUAGAAAGCCACGGCUAACUACGUGCCAGCAGCCGCGGUAAUACGUAGGUGGCAAGCGUUGUCCGGAAUUAUUGGGCGUAAAGCGCGCGCAGGCGGAUAGGUCAGUCUGUCUUAAAAGUUCGGGGCUUAACCCCGUGAUGGGAUGGAAACUGCCAAUCUAGAGUAUCGGAGAGGAAAGUGGAAUUCCUAGUGUAGCGGUGAAAUGCGUAGAUAUUAGGAAGAACACCAGUGGCGAAGGCGACUUUCUGGACGAAAACUGACGCUGAGGCGCGAAAGCCAGGGAAGCGAACGGGAUUAGAUACCCCGGUAGUCCUGGCCGUAAACGAUGGGUACUAGGUGUAGGAGGUAUCGACCCCUUCUGUGCCGGAGUUAACGCAAUAAGUACCCCGCCUGGGGAGUACGACCGCAAGGUUG
RNAcentral lists this ribosomal RNA (550 nucleotides) under uncultured bacterium. Its description in RNAcentral is "bacterial SSU rRNA". It matches the Rfam family "Bacterial small subunit ribosomal RNA", at positions 355 to 896 of the family's 1533-position model. The record is from RNAcentral.